This 955-nucleotide ribosomal RNA is filed under the name Staphylococcus capitis. RNAcentral's name for it is "partial 23S ribosomal RNA". It matches the Rfam family "Bacterial large subunit ribosomal RNA", at positions 217 to 1212 of the family's 2925-position model. The record is from RNAcentral. Lineage: Bacteria; Bacillati; Bacillota; Bacilli; Caryophanales; Staphylococcaceae.
AAAAGAAAUCAACCGAGAUUCCCCCAGUAGCGGCGAGCGAACGGGGAGCAGCCCAGAGUCUGAAUCAGUGUGUGUGUUAGUGGAAGCGUCUGGAAAGGCGCGCGAUACAGGGUGACAGCCCCGUACACAAAAAUGCACAUAUUGUGAGCUCGAUGAGUAGGGCGGGACACGUGGUAUCCUGUCUGAAUAUGGGGGGACCAUCCUCCAAGGCUAAAUACUCCUGACUGACCGAUAGUGAACCAGUACCGUGAGGGAAAGGCGAAAAGAACCCCGGCGAGGGGAGUGAAAAAGAACCUGAAACCGUGUACGUACAAGCAGUGGGAGCACGCUUAGGCGUGUGACUGCGUACCUUUUGUAUAAUGGGUCAGCGACUUAUAUUCUGUAGCAAGGUUAACCGAAUAGGGGAGCCGAAGGGAAACCGAGUCUUAACUGGGCGUUAAGUUGCAGGGUAUAGACCCGAAACCCGGUGAUCUAGCCAUGGGCAGGUUGAAGGUUGGGUAACACUAACUGGAGGACCGAACCGACUAAUGUUGAAAAAUUAGCGGAUGACUUGUGGCUGGGGGUGAAAGGCCAAUCAAACCGGGAGAUAGCUGGUUCUCCCCGAAAGCUAUUUAGGUAGCGCCUCAUGUAUCACUGUAGGGGGUAGAGCACUGUUUCGGCUAGGGGGUCAUCCCGACUUACCAAACCGAUGCAAACUCCGAAUACCUACAAGUGCCGAGCAUGGGAGACACACGGCGGGUGCUAACGUCCGUCGUGAAGAGGGAAACAACCCAGACCGCCAGCUAAGGUCCCAAAGUCAUGGUUAAGUGGGAAACGAUGUGGGAAGGCCCAGACAGCCAGGAUGUUGGCUUAGAAGCAGCCAUCAUUUAAAGAAAGCGUAAUAGCUCACUGGUCGAGUCGGCCUGCGCGGAAGAUGUAACGGGGCUAAACCAUGCACCGAAGCUGCGGCAGCGAC